ACCAUGGAGUUGGUUCUCACCCCACGUUGUUUCGGGGUUUUCAGGUCGUACGUAUGCAGCGCGGUGGCGCAAGGCGAGGACGUAGCUCAGUAGAUAGCGCCCUACCACAGAGACCGAGGUAGCAGUACCCUGAGGCAAUCUAGCUUAGGGGACUAGAAAGCUAGAAUCAAGAUGUAUCAAACUUGUAAAUUAAAUGAUGUAAUAACUAGAUUGUAAAUUGGAAGUAAAAUGUGAAUUGAACUGUGAUGUGCUAAGUGACUGAAUGCUUGUAAUAGCAAGUAGAUUAUGUAUUUGAUACUUCCUUAUGCAAUCUGGAUUGAUAUCCGUUCCUACUUGGAACAUUCGUUGAUUGUUUGGAUUGCGAUGCCUUGGACGUACUGGGGAGACUCUGUCCGCGUACCAAGGAAUCCCCGGUCCGUUCGGCGGUCUGUCGGCGGCGCCGCGACCCGGUCCAAAUAGGCGGUUGGUUGCUGGGCGUGACACUACCAUUGUUGAGCUCAAAGCUUAUCUCUAAGCUAGCUCCAAUGGUGUGAGGAGGAAGAGGAAGAUGACCAAGGCCUUCUCCUUGCUUGCUUCACCUUCUUCUCCACCUUCUUCUCCUUCCUUUUCUUCUUCUCCUUCUUCUCCUUCUUCUUUGCUUCAAGAGAAGAGAGAGAGCAUAGAGAGAGAGAGAGAAGUGUGUGUGUUGGGUGGGGAAAUGAGGGAGAGAGAGAGUGUAAUCCCUUCUAUACCCUCCACUAAUGUAACAAUUGCACCCAAACCCCUCCACUUUGCCUCUCUCAAACUGCUCUGCUUGGGCAGUUUUCGGGCAUGGGGACCGGUCCCUCUAUGGACAGACCAGUCCCCGAGAGCUCACCCGCGGGCAGAGCUCUUCUGCCAGCUUUUACGCGUACGGGGACCGGUCUCUCCUUGCCAGGGACCGGUCCCCGAGAGCAAAACUCUCAGGACUUAGCCAAAUUUUCCUUGUUCUCGCUGGUUGCGCGUAUGGGGACCGGUCCUCGCCUGAGGGACCGGACCUUCAAGAACCGGUCCCCUCUCGAGGGACCAGACCCCGAGAGCAAAUGUCACGCGCAGAGCUUUCUCCUGCAUUUUCAACUUUCAGGGACUGGUCUCUCCCACUAGGGACCGGUCCCCGAGAGCAAAAUUUGCCAGGUGCAGAUUUUGCACAUCUUGCUCUCGCGGAUCCAUUGCAAUGCACUUUUUGAAUUUUCGACUUCUUCGGCUUUUCUGAAGCAUACCCACUUGACAAUUAGUCGAUUCUGGACUAAGUCCAACUCUCGGAUUUCGAGUAUUUACUUCCUUACAAGUAUAGAUGCCCAAAUCCAUAACCUGUUGUGUUGGUCUGUCGACCUUAGGCACUAUCCGCCACCAUAAUGCAUUAGACCUGACCCACGCGUCAUGAUGGAUGACCUAUUCGAAUAAGUAUACCCUGCGUCGGUGGCCAAACUGACUUGGUGUCUGUGAAUAUUCCUAAGUGCAGUGACAAAUCAAUGAGAUGAUAAAUCUGUUAGAAAAUUUGCGUACGGUAAAAUCGCAGCGAAAAAAGAAGUCAAACAAAUUUGAUUUUUAAAACUCAUUCUCGAAAACCACGCAAAUAGGAUCCCUCAUAUUCUUUAAGAUUAAAGGAGAAAAGGAGGAUUCAAUCUUUAUCUUUGCGAGCGUAGAUCUUUACCCAAUUUGAUGAUCGUGGAAUUAGGUUCUCUUGAAGUCGCACAUGUGUCCGGUCUCUAUAGGUAUCCACACGAGGUUCAUGAUUUGAUCAAUGUCCUCACCGGGAUGCUAGCUCCCUUGCAAAGAACAUCUUAAUCGCUAGAAGAAAAGAGAGAAAGAAAAAGAGAGGAAGAGAGAUGACGGCUAGGGUUUUCUAAAAACUCCCGUAUAUUAUAUAGAGAGAUAUAAUCCUCUUUUUAAUAAUAUAAUAACCAUUAAAGAUAAGUAAAAAUAUAGAUUUAAAUUUAUCCUUUUCCUAAUUGGUUAUAUCGAUCAAAUCCUAAUUUGAUUCGACUUGAACUUUAUCUUAAUUUGAUCAUAUCGUUAAUAAUGUAACACAUAGUAAGUAGCAAGCAUGAUAGCAUGACAUGUAAAUAAUGUUAGCUAAUGUAAAGAAUGCAUAUUAAUAGUAAUGCAUAGAUGGAAAUGCUAAAUAAAAUGCAUGAUGAACUAAGAUGCAUAGAGCAAAUGCCAAGUAGAAAGCAUGAGUUAAUAACUCUAGUGUGAGUAGAGUCGAUCGGACAACUAGGUUGUCAGGUAGAUCGAGUAGCAUCUAACCUAGUGUUAAAGAACAUAGGUUAAACGAGUGAACCUAGAGUCGAACAAUCUAGGUGUGUGGCAUCGAACCUAGUGUUAGUAAACCUAGGUCGAAUUAGUAAACCUAGAAGUGGACAUCUAGGCAAAGAUGACAAGAACCUAGCAAGUGUACCUAGGUUAAGUGACGUGGACGUAGAACCUAGAGUCUUGGAACCUAGGUUGAUGAGUAUAGUGGUAUAGCCACUAGGAUGAGUUAGGUCGAUGAUAUAGGGUUGGUUAUGAACCUUCGACCUGUGGAAAGUGGAUUCCGGAAUCCCAGGACUUAUGAUGUCCCUGGUACAGGCUAGGGCGUUCGUGCGACGACUUCGCCGCCGAGCUUGGUACCGUGGGUAGAUUGGGGGCGAUCAUAUGGAGAUCACCGCCCGGGGCUUGAACCAUUGUCGUGGCGUUUGUGCGACGAUUUCACCGCCGGAUGGUUAAACCAUUUGAGGAUCAGACCGCCAGAGUAGACUGAAUCCAUGCUGGGUAAGUACGAUGCGGGUGCUUCCAGGUGACUGAGUCUGACAUGAUCGUUGUUGGGUGUGGUGCGACUCGUUCGCCGCCAGACGGUAUGUCCUGUCUCGAGCUCACGCUGGGUAAGUGCAACGCGAUCGCCACCGAUGGUCAAGUCUUGCGACUCGAGCCGUGUUCAGCGUGUGCGACGAUUUCGCCGCUAGGAGGCUGAGUCUGAGAGAGUACGGUAGGCUGUUGAGCAGCCAGUGCGCGGACUAUCCGCAGAUGAUUGACUCGAAGCCGAGUCGGGUGGUUAGCUAUGAUAGGGUAGAGGAACCCUUAUGAGCUAGAGAUAGAGGCUUGAGCUAAGGUAAAUAGAAACCUUAGAAGCUAGUGGUUGGUGUUGUGAUCCUAAGGUAAUAGAAAUCUUAGAGUAAAAUUAUGAGCUAAAGCAGCCAAGUAAAAGUAAAAUUAUGAGCUAAAGCAGCCAAGUAAAAGUAGAAUUUAAAUGAUCUACUAGUUGUUGCAUGAUUUUCAUAUCGCAUAUUGUGAGGCAUGGCAUGUAUUUCAAUCGAAUAUAUAUAUAUCUGUUGUAUAUUGUUGAACUAACAUGUUGCAGUGCCUCCUCGGACCUAUCGGUCGAGCUUUUCCCUUGGGUGGCCGUACCCACUGGGAACCAUGGAGUUGGUUCUCACCCCACGUUGUUUCGGGGUUUUCAGGUCGUACGUAUGCAGCGCGGUGGCGCAAGGCGAGGACGUAGCUCAGUAGAUAGCGCCCUACCACAGAGACCGAGGUAGCAGUACCCUGAGGCAAUCUAGCUUAGGGGACUAGAAAGCUAGAAUCAAGAUGUAUCAAACUUGUAAAUUAAAUGAUGUAAUAACUAGAUUGUAAAUUGGAAGUAAAAUGUGAAUUGAACUGUGAUGUGCUAAGUGACUGAAUGCUUGUAAUAGCAAGUAGAUUAUGUAUUUGAUACUU
Molecule: long non-coding RNA, 3714 nt
Filed under: Ananas comosus (pineapple)
Lineage: Eukaryota; Viridiplantae; Streptophyta; Magnoliopsida; Poales; Bromeliaceae
Description: long non-coding RNA (ACOM_LNC009052)
Source: RNAcentral